AAUGAACGCUGGCGGCAUGCCUAACACAUGCAAGUCGAACGAAGGCUUCGGCCUUAGUGGCGCACGGGUGCGUAACGCGUGGGAAUCUGCCCCUUGGUUCGGAAUAACAGUGAGAAAUUACUGCUAAUACCGGAUGAUGACGUAAGUCCAAAGAUUUAUCGCCGAGGGAUGAGCCCGCGUAAGAUUAGGUAGUUGGUGUGGUAAAGGCGCACCAAGCCGACGAUCUUUAGCNGGUCUGAGAGGAUGAUCAGCCACACUGGGACUGAGACACGGCCCAGACUCCUACGGGAGGCAGCAGUGGGGAAUAUUGGACAAUGGGCGAAAGCCUGAUCCAGCAAUGCCGCGUGAGUGAUGAAGGCCUUCGGUU
Molecule: ribosomal RNA, 367 nt
Filed under: uncultured bacterium
Lineage: Bacteria
Description: bacterial SSU rRNA
Rfam family: Bacterial small subunit ribosomal RNA
Source: RNAcentral